This is a long non-coding RNA of Ipomoea nil (Japanese morning glory), 426 nucleotides long. RefSeq lists it as uncharacterized. NCBI's taxonomy places the organism in Eukaryota, Viridiplantae, Streptophyta, Magnoliopsida, Solanales, Convolvulaceae. The transcript has 2 exons. The record is from RefSeq and is a predicted model, not a curated record.
CUGCUGAGGUGCCGAACUGAAGCUCCGUCGACUGGCGUUGCUGAGGUGCCGUCGUGCCGAACUGAAGCUCCAAGUUCAUCUCAUCUGUUAAUCUGCUACUGCCGUCUAGUAUUGCGGCUAAUGCCUACUUGAUAUUGUGAUAAUGACUUCAUCAAGUGCUUCGACUACUCAAAGUGUUGGAACUUCGGAUGCAUCCACACUUAAAAGGAGAUCAAAUGAUGUAGGAUGGGAUUAUGGUAUUUUAGUUGAUGCAAAAAAUUUGGAUAAAGUAAAAUGCUUGUUGUGUGGGAAAGUUUUAUCCGGUGGAGUGUAUAGAAUAAAAGAGCAUAUUGCUCAUAUACAAGGAAAUGUUGCUCCAUGUUCUAAAGCUACUAAGGAUGAUCAACUUAAGUGUAGGAAUGCAAUCAAUGAAGCUAAGAUGAGAAG